This 513-nucleotide ribosomal RNA is filed under the name uncultured bacterium. Its description in RNAcentral is "partial 16S ribosomal RNA". It matches the Rfam family "Bacterial small subunit ribosomal RNA", at positions 28 to 523 of the family's 1533-position model. The record is from RNAcentral.
GACGAACGCUGGCGGCAUGCCUAAUACAUGCAAGUCGAGCGAACAGAUGAAGUGCUUGCACUUCUGACGUUAGCGGCGAACGGGUGAGUAACACGUAAGGAAUCUACCUAUAAGCGGGGGAUAACAUUCGGAAACGGGUGCUAAUACCGCAUAAUAUCUUCUUCCGCAUGGAAGAAGAUUGAAAGACGGCUCUGCUGUCACUUAUAGAUGACCUUGCGGUGCAUUAGUUAGUUGGUGGGGUAACGGCCUACCAAGACGAUGAUGCAUAGCCGACCUGAGAGGGUGAGCGGCCACAUUGGGACUGAGACACGGCCCAAACUCCUACGGGAGGCAGCAGUAGGGAAUCUUCCGCAAUGGGCGAAGGCCUGACGGAGCAAUGCCGCGUGAGUGAAGAAGGCCUUCGGGUCGUAAAACUCUGUUAUAAGAGAAGAACAAAUUGUAGAGUAACUGCUACAGUCUUGACGGUAUCUUAUCAGAGAGCCACGGCUAACUACGUGCCAGCCGCCGCCGUAA